UGCAGACUGAGCUGAGCAGAAAAGAGAGGUUGUCCUACGCAGCRGAGGCGUUGGCGAGCAAGCAAGGAUGCCUGCCAUGACUUAGGGCUGCCUUUUGGUGUCAUUGCUUUGGUUGAGCAGCUCCUGGCUCUCGGUAGUCGCAGCGUGUGUCCUCCUGACUGCAGCGGACCCUUCRCCUCGCUCCGACAGCAGAGUCGAUCCUGCGCAACGCAAGACACGGCGGCAGGAUCCAGCCCAAAGGAAACAUCUCAGGCUUUGGCCCAUCACUAGCAGCACCUUCUCCCAGCGAAGCCCGCUCCAGGCAUGACGCAGAGCUCAGUCCUCCCAGUUCCCAGCGCUUGUUUGCCUUUCACCAAGGCGUCAGGAAGGCAGCGUGAAAAAAGCCAGUUUAUGUCAUCUCAUGACUCACUGACGGGCUUUCCCAGUAGGCGCUGCAGAGUUUGGGGAAGAAGCUCCUCAAGUUUCAUCCAGUGCAAAUGGUCCAUUUGAGUACAGAUCGGUUCCCCAAUCCACUUCACUGCAUGGCCAUAUGAACACCCGUACCAGCUUUUCCUGCUCUACAGACCUCUUGAAAAUACAGAUUGGAAAACAGCACAGAAAGAAAGAGCAGAAGUCAAGCCAGCAUGAAGAGCAUGGCCAACAGCUGCUUCUCCAAAAUGGUGAUCCAACUGCACGAAGUCUUUCUGCAUUUGAAGAUACAACAUAAAACGGCAAAAGAAAUAAAUCAGAUGAGGGAAACUGCCA
This 744-nucleotide long non-coding RNA is filed under the name Dromaius novaehollandiae (emu). RNAcentral's name for it is "lncRNA (ENSDNVG00000001394.1)". Lineage: Eukaryota; Metazoa; Chordata; Aves; Casuariiformes; Dromaiidae. The record is from RNAcentral.